RNAcentral lists this small RNA (28 nucleotides) under Bombyx mori (domestic silkworm). RNAcentral describes it as "ovarian small RNA-8324". The record is from RNAcentral. Lineage: Eukaryota; Metazoa; Arthropoda; Insecta; Lepidoptera; Bombycidae.
UGAUCGGGACAGGGUUGUCCAGCCCUAA